RNAcentral lists this ribosomal RNA (583 nucleotides) under Tricholomopsis sp. RNAcentral describes it as "partial large subunit ribosomal RNA". It matches the Rfam family "Eukaryotic large subunit ribosomal RNA", at positions 71 to 664 of the family's 3401-position model. The record is from RNAcentral. Lineage: Eukaryota; Fungi; Basidiomycota; Agaricomycetes; Agaricales.
AGGAUUCCCCUAGUAACUGCGAGUGAAGCGGGAAAAGCUCAAAUUUAAAAUCUGGCAGUCUUUGGCUGUCCGAGUUGUAAUUUAGAGAAGCACUGCCCGUGCUGGACUGUGUACAAGUCUCCUGGAAUGGAGCGUCAUAGAGGGUGAGAAUCCCGUAUAUGACACAGUUUCCAGGACUUAGUGGCAUGCUCUCCAAGAGUCGAGUUGUUUGGGAAUGCAGCUCAAAAUGGGUGGUAAAUUCCAUCUAAAGCUAAAUAUAGGCGAGAAACCGAUAGCGAACAAGUACCGUGAGGGAAAGAUGAAAAGAACUUUGGAAAGAGAGUUAAACAGUACGUGAAAUUGUUGAAAGGGAAACGCUUGAAGUCAGUCGCAUUGCUGGAAAUCACACUUGCUUUUUGCUUGUGGCUCUUUCCUAGUAAUGGGUCAGCAUCAGUUUUGAUUGUUGGACAAGGGUUAGAGGAAUGUGGCAUCCUUGGAUGUGUUAUAGCCUCUGAUCAUAUGCAAUGAUUGAGACUGAGGAACUCAGCACUUGUGCUUAGGAUGCUGGCAUAAUGGCUUUAAUCGACCCGUCUUAAAACCCCGG